Armigeres subalbatus is the source of this 293-nucleotide long non-coding RNA. RefSeq lists it as uncharacterized. The record is from RefSeq and is a predicted model, not a curated record. NCBI's taxonomy places the organism in Eukaryota, Metazoa, Arthropoda, Insecta, Diptera, Culicidae. The transcript is spliced from 4 exons.
CCUAAUUGUAACUUAUUGCUAAAAGGUGCAUGCAGGUAUAAACGAUAGAUAUUGUGAAAUAAACAGAGUACAAAGUUUCGCUGAGAUCAAGCAACUAUACGAUACUAUUACAUAUCUACUUAUACCUAAGACAAGCACAUCAAAGCUAAAACUAUUUUUAAACCGAACAGUGCCGAUCGAAAGAAUUUGCAUAGUAAAUCCACAUUUAAUUGCAAAGGUUCACCAAAAAUUCUUAAAGCCUACCAAUCACAAAUAAGGUUUGCUUGUGAGAUUUUGGGGAAAUCAUCCGUACA